This 302-nucleotide long non-coding RNA is filed under the name Mytilus galloprovincialis (Mediterranean mussel). Lineage: Eukaryota; Metazoa; Mollusca; Bivalvia; Mytilida; Mytilidae. The record is from RNAcentral.
UGCUGUUCAUAUUAGAUUAAUAACAAGUCUGUUAAAUUCCCGAACUACAGGCUGCUGACUUUGGACAGGCACAUAUGAAAUGUGGCGGGUUUAAAUCUGUUUUCUGGCGAUCAACACUCCUCUCCCCUCGGACAGUAGUAUAACAGCACAAUAAAAGAAAAAACAACCAAGUAUAAAUCAGUUCGAAAAGUUUCACUGAUCAUAUCGACAUUUAGCACAAACAAUAUAUUGGCAAAAGACACAAAGUGUCGACGUAAGAGAACUCACUGUCACUUAAAACAUUGUUUAAUCCAUCAUUUUCA